Molecule: unclassified non-coding RNA, 21 nt
Filed under: Mus musculus (house mouse)
Lineage: Eukaryota; Metazoa; Chordata; Mammalia; Rodentia; Muridae
Description: oocyte_clustered_small_RNA13946
Source: RNAcentral
AGCCCCAAGAAGAUGACCGCA